CAGAAAAAAAACAGAUAGGUUCGAUCUACGUGUCAAAAAUAACAGGUUCACCUCUGUUUUAUGCAAAAUAGAGGAAAGACUUUCAGUAGGCUGGUGGGUAUUUGGGGUAUUAGCUCAAACAAAAAAAAAAAUAAACAGAAGUGUAUCUGGUGGUGGCUAAGAUUUGAAAAAACAAAACAAAGCAACCACAAGAAACAUCAACAACCAAAAAACCCCCAACAACCUCAUUUUAGUGCGUAGAACAGUUAUUCAUGGCUUCUUUCUAAAGGUGAAGGACUUGUGUCCAAGACAAGAUGUCCAAUGCAUUUUUUGGAAAUAUUGUGAAAUAUUAAGGAAUGGGAAGUGGAAAGAACGAAAAGCAAAUCUAAUCCCAUUCUUAACCAUACUACUCAAUGAUGAUCCAUAUCACAAAAAGGAAAGAAUACCUUGUAAUCUAAAUUAAAAUGACACACUGUCUAAAGAAUCAAUGGACUUGCCAAUAUACUAAAAACUUACAUACUGCCUUCUCAACAAGCAAAAUACCGUAACUCCAUUAAAUACAAAUGCUAAAAAUCUGUCUCCAUAACAAAGCAAUUAUAAUGAGACUUGUCAUUCAUCUCCUGCACAAGGGUGUCGUGAGGCAUGAUUCAUUACGUUCGUGAAGCGCUUUGAAAUCCUGAGAUGAAAGAUGCCAAGGAAAUGCAAAGUAUUAUCACCAUAAUACAAAGUUGUAUUAUCAUUGUCAUCAAACAAAGUGCCUUAGGAAAGGGCACUUUUACACAUGAAUUCAUUUGUGAUUUUAACAGCUCACUUAUUCCACAGCAAAGCUUCUGUUGCUAUUAGAUCCAAAUCUGGAUUUAGGGAGUGAAACUAUCAGGACAAUAUUCUUUCAUUGCCAACUCCAAGAUGUCAUUACUAUAGAGAGCUGUAUCUAAAUUACAGCUUUGCACAGCGCAGUCACAUUUGGUCUAUGUCUGUUAAUUCAGCACCUACCCUGGUGAGCAGCAGCUGCAGUUCAGGAGCACCUCUCCUCCAGGACACUGUGCCUAUCAACUAUCUCCUUCCCUCAGAUGAGACGGCACAAAGAGUAGAUUCCAAAAACAAUACUUUAACCAGGUCCUCUGAAAAAAAAAAAAAAAAGAAAAAAAAAAAAAGAAAGAAAGAAAAAGAAAAAACAACAUUGAAACACGCAAGCAAGACUAAUGCUUAGCAGGUUGAUUUGUAGCUAGAACUGCACCAACAAACUCCUACUUUGUCUCAGUAAUGUCACU
RNAcentral lists this long non-coding RNA (1250 nucleotides) under Phasianus colchicus (ring-necked pheasant). RNAcentral's name for it is "lncRNA (ENSPCLG00000021265.1)". The record is from RNAcentral. Lineage: Eukaryota; Metazoa; Chordata; Aves; Galliformes; Phasianidae.